CCUACGGGCGGCUGCAGUGGGGAAUAUUGGACAAUGGGGGCAACCCUGAUCCAGCCAUGCCGCGUGUGUGAAGAAGGCCCUCGGGUUGUAAAGCACUUUCAGUGAGGAAGAACGCCUGGUGGUUAAUACCCAUCAGGAAAGACAUCACUCACAGAAGAAGCACCGGCUAACUCCGUGCCAGCAGCCGCGGUAAUACGGAGGGUGCGAGCGUUAAUCGGAAUUACUGGGCGUAAAGCGCGCGUAGGUGGCUUGAUAAGCCGGUUGUGAAAGCCCCGGGCUCAACCUGGGAACGGCAUCCGGAACUGUCAAGCUAGAGUGCAGGAGAGGAAGGUAGAAUUCCCCGUGUAGCGGUGAAAUGCGUAGAGAUCGGGAGGAACACCGGUGGCGAAGGCGGCCUUCUGGGCUGACACUGACACUGAGGUGCGAAAGCGUGGGUAGCAAACAGGAUUAGAUACCCCAGUAGUC
RNAcentral lists this ribosomal RNA (465 nucleotides) under Vreelandella stevensii. RNAcentral's name for it is "partial 16S ribosomal RNA". It matches the Rfam family "Bacterial small subunit ribosomal RNA", at positions 338 to 795 of the family's 1533-position model. The record is from RNAcentral. Lineage: Bacteria; Pseudomonadati; Pseudomonadota; Gammaproteobacteria; Oceanospirillales; Halomonadaceae.